Molecule: ribosomal RNA, 497 nt
Filed under: uncultured bacterium
Lineage: Bacteria
Description: partial 16S ribosomal RNA
Rfam family: Bacterial small subunit ribosomal RNA
Source: RNAcentral
GAUGAACGCUGGCGGCGUGCCUAAUACAUGCAAGUCGAGCGAACGGACGAGAAGCUUGCUUCUCUGAUGUUAGCGGCGGACGGGUGAGUAACACGUGGAUAACCUACCUAUAAGACUGGGAUAACUUCGGGAAACCGGAGCUAAUACCGGAUAAUAUUUUGAACCGCAUGGUUCAAAAGUGAAAGACGGUCUUGCUGUCACUUAUAGAUGGAUCCGCGCUGCAUUAGCUAGUUGGUAAGGUAACGGCUUACCAAGGCAACGAUGCAUAGCCGACCUGAGAGGGUGAUCGGCCACACUGGAACUGAGACACGGUCCAGACUCCUACGGGAGGCAGCAGUAGGGAAUCUUCCGCAAAGGGCGAAAGCCUGACGGAGCAACGCCGCGUGAGUGAUGAAGGUCUUCGGAUCGUAAAACUCUGUCAUUAGGGAAGAACAUAUGUGUAAGUAACUGUGCACAUCUUGACGGUACCUAAUCAGAAAGCCACGGCUAACUACGUG